UACGUAGGGGCGAGCGUUGUCCGGAAUGAUUGGGCGUAAAGGGCGCGUAGGCGGCUUGUUAAGUCUGGAGUGGAAGUCCUCUUUUCAAGGGAGGAAUUGCUUUGGAAACUGGCGGGCUUGAGUGCAGGAGAGGUUAUCGGAAUUCCCGGUGUAGCGGUGAAAUGCGUAGAGAUCGGGAGGAACACCAGUGGCGAAGGCGGGUAACUGGACUGCAACUGACGCUGAGGCGCGAAAGUGUGGGGAGCAAACAGGAUUAGAUACCCGUGUAGUCCCUGAGCGGG
RNAcentral lists this ribosomal RNA (281 nucleotides) under uncultured prokaryote. RNAcentral describes it as "partial 16S ribosomal RNA". It matches the Rfam family "Bacterial small subunit ribosomal RNA", at positions 524 to 803 of the family's 1533-position model. The record is from RNAcentral.